Molecule: ribosomal RNA, 253 nt
Filed under: uncultured bacterium
Lineage: Bacteria
Description: partial 16S ribosomal RNA
Rfam family: Bacterial small subunit ribosomal RNA
Source: RNAcentral
UACGAGGGGGGCUAGCGUUGCUCGGAAUUACUGGGCGUAAAGCGCACGUAGGCGGUCUUUUAAGUCGGGGGUGAAAUCCUGGAGCUCAACUCCAGAACUGCCUUCGAUACUGGCGAUCUCGAGUCCGGAAGAGGUGAGUGGAACUCCUAGUGUAGAGGUGGAAUUCGUAGAUAUUAGGAAGAACACCAGUGGCGAAGGCGACUCACUGGUCCGGUACUGACGCUGAGGUGCGAAAGCGUGGGGAGCAAACAGG